This 68-nucleotide transfer RNA is filed under the name Eurycercus lamellatus. RNAcentral describes it as "tRNA-Glu". Lineage: Eukaryota; Metazoa; Arthropoda; Branchiopoda; Diplostraca; Eurycercidae. The record is from RNAcentral.
GUUACUAUAGUAUAAAAUAUUACCCCACAUUUUCAUUGUGAAAAUAAGAAUUUAUUUCUUUAGUAAUU